AUACCUUUCUCGGCUUUUUGGCUAAGAUCAAGUGUAUAUCUGAUAUGUGGGUCAAGCACUCACAAGGAUAUUAAAUUUAUUUUUUGGGAGAGCUCAUCAUAGUGGCUUGCCACUAGGGUUCUCAGGUGUCACCUAAAUUUUGCACUACUUCUUAGGCUUGGCGCGCCCCAA
Molecule: small nuclear RNA, 171 nt
Filed under: Setaria italica (foxtail millet)
Lineage: Eukaryota; Viridiplantae; Streptophyta; Magnoliopsida; Poales; Poaceae
Description: snRNA U2
Rfam family: U2 spliceosomal RNA
About the family: U2 is a small nuclear RNA (snRNA) component of the spliceosome (involved in pre-mRNA splicing).
Source: Rfam by way of RNAcentral